AGUCACUACGAGGUUGCACUAUGAAGUUAACACUAUUUUUGAUUUGCUUGCUUUUCGCAAUCGAUUUUAGUUUCGGAGAUGGAGAUGAAAUGCAGCAAGCUCUUGGAGGUAUUUGUGGUGGUGCGAGUAAAAAUGGUGUCUGUUUAAAGGAGAAUACUUUCAACUACAAUGUCAGCACUAGGAAAUGCGAAAAAGUGGAACGAGAUGGGGGAGCUUGUGGGUUCUUUAAGUUUAAGAAGAGAUGCGAAAUAGUAUGUAACAGUGUGAAAAAGGAAUUAGUUCACAAACCAAGCCGCUUGCCUCCACCGAUCUCGAAAUAAAUGCAUAUUGCUGAUAUCUAAACAUGAAA
This 349-nucleotide small RNA is filed under the name Drosophila virilis. Its description in RNAcentral is "GJ25779". The record is from RNAcentral. Lineage: Eukaryota; Metazoa; Arthropoda; Insecta; Diptera; Drosophilidae.